UACGUAGGCAGCGAGCGUUGUUCGGAAUUACUGGGCGUAAAGAGUGUGUAGGCGGUGUUCCAAGUCUGGUGUGAAAUCUCCCGGCUUAACUGGGAGGGUGCGCCGGAAACUGGAAUGCUCGAGGGUGGGAGAGGUAAGCGGAAUUCCUGGUGUAGCGGUGAAAUGCGUAGAUAUUCGCAAGAACACCAGUGGCGAAGGCGGCUCACUGGCCCGGUACUGACGCUGAGGUGCGAAAGCGUGGGGAGCAAACAGG
Molecule: ribosomal RNA, 253 nt
Filed under: uncultured bacterium
Lineage: Bacteria
Description: partial 16S ribosomal RNA
Rfam family: Bacterial small subunit ribosomal RNA
Source: RNAcentral